UCUGACGCCCCAGCCCGGGCUCUUUCCACUGAGCCACGCUUAGAACAGUGCUCUGCACAUAGUAAGCGCUUAACACUUAACUUCUCUGUGCCUCAGUUCCCUCAUCUGUAAAAUGGGGAUUAAAGACUGUGAGCCCCACGUGGGACGACCUGAUUCCCCUGUGUCUACCCCAGCGCUGAGAACAGUGCUCUGCACGUAGUAAGCGCUUAACAAAUACCAACAUUAUUAUCAUUAUUAAAUACCAACUUUAUUAUUAUUAUUAUUAAGGUCUGGGUCACGGCCCCACCCCCAACCCCUCCCCCAGGUCCGGCCUCGGCCCCACCCCCAGCCCCAGGCCCCUCCCCCGGCCCCGGCCCCGACCCCCUCCCCCCCCCCCCCCCCCCGGCCCCGUCCGGCCCGUGCUGCAGAAGGGCAACAUCUCACCCUCCUCCAGAGAACGGACCCCGCACACGCCCGCACACACACACACACACGCACGCACCCGGGCAGACACAGACAUAGAUCCAGACCCAGACGGACGGCGAGAGCGGGGUUGGGUCCCGGGCACGGUCCGGGAGCCGGUCCUGUGUGCGAGAGCAGGUCCUGGGUGCGGGAGUCGGUCCUGGACGGGAGAGAGCGGGGUUGGGUCCCGGGCUCGGUCCGGUGUGCGAGAGCAGGUCCUCUGGGCGGGAGCCGGUCCGGUGUGCGGGAGCCGGUCCUGGGUGCGAGAACCGAUCCUGCGCGGGAGCCGGUCCUGCGGGCGAGAACCGGUCCUGUGUGCGGGAGUCGGUCCUGUGUGCGGGAGCCGGUCCUGUGUGCGAGAGCCGGUCCUGCGCGAAAGUCGGUCCUGUGUGCGGGAGCCGGUCCUGUGUGCGAGAACCGGUCCUGCGCGAGAGCCGGUCCUGUGUGCGGGAGUCGCUCCUGUGAGGGAGUCGGUCCUGUGUGCGGGAAUCGGUCCUGUGUGCGAGAACUGGUCCUGCGCGAAAGUCGGUCCUGUGUGCGGGAGCCGGUCCUGUGUGCGAGAACCGGUCCGGUGUGGGAGCCGGUCCUGUGUGCGAGAACCGGUCCGGUGUGGGAGCCGGUCCCGUGUGCGAGAACCGGUCCUGCGCGGGAGUCGGGGCGCCCAGGCGGUCGGCAGAUCCCGCACCCAGAGCCGCCACCACCCUUAGGAGUCGUGGGGGUGGCCCUGGGGGUCGGGGGGGGGGGUCGGGGUGGUUCUUAUUGGCGUUGUUAUUGUUGUUGUUAUUGUGACAGUCGUAGCGUCCAAGGACCGAGGGAAGGAGGGCAGUGGAGGGCUGGGAGCCUGCCGGCCGACACACCCGGUGGCGUUGCACCCUCCCCCGAGCGCUCAGUCCAGUGCUCCGCACGCGGUAAACGCUCAAAAAAUACCAUUGCUUGCUUGAUUGUUACAUUGUCCUCUCCCAAGCGCUCAGUCCAGUGCUCCGCACGCGGUAAGCGCUCAAAAGAUACCAUUGCUUGCUUGGUUAUUGUACUGCACUCUCCCAAGCGCUUAGUUCAGUGCUCUGCACACGGUAAACGCUCAAUAAAUACCACUGCUUGACCGUGGUGUCCUCUCCCAAGCGCUCAGUCCGGUGCCCUGCACACGGUUAAGCGCCUCCCAAAAUACCAUUGCUUGCUUGUCAUAUUGCACUCUCCCAAGCGUUUAGCUCAGUGCUCUGCACACGCUAAGCGCUCAAAAAUUACCAGUGAUCGAUUGUUCUACUGUCCUCUCCCCAGCGUUUAGUCCAGUGCUCCGCACAAGGUAAGCGCUGAAUCAAUACCGUUGCUUCUUAGAGUUUACUCUCCCGAGCGCUUAGUCCAGUGCUCUUGCACACGAUAAGCGCUCAAUAAAUCCCACUGAUUGUUGUAGUGUCCUCUCCCAGGCGCUUAGUCGAGUGCCGCGCACACGGUAAGCGCUCAAUCAAUACCGUUGAUUGAUUGUUUUAUUGUCCUCUCCCAAGCGAUUAGUCCAGUGCUCCGCACACGGUAAAAGAUCAAUAAAUACGAUUGAAUGAAAGUAAGCGCUCAGUAAAUACUAUUGUUAUCUUGUAGUUUCCCAAAGGGACUAGUCCAGUGCUCUGCACACGGUAAAAGAUCAAUAAAUACGAUUGAAUGAAAGUAAGCGCUCAAUAAAUACUAUUGUUAUAUUGUAGCUCCCCAAACGAUUAGUCCAGUGCUCCGCGCUCAGCAGGCGCUCAGUCAAUAGCGCUGAUUGAUAUAGUGUACUCUCCCCAGCGCUUAGUUCAAUGCUCUGCACUCAGCAGGCGCUCAAUCAAUACCCGUGAUCGAUAUAUUGUACUCUUCCGAGCGCUUAGUCCAGUGCACCGCACACAGUAAGCGCUCAAUCAAUAGCGUUGUUCUAUUGUAGUCUCCCAAGCGCUCCGCACAUAGCAAACGCCCAAAUAAUCGCGUUGUGAUAUUGCAGUCAACCAAGCGCUCAGUCCAGUGCUCUGCACAAGGUAAGCGCUCAAACAAUAGCGUUGUUAUAUAUUGUAGUUUCCCAAGCGCUCAGUGCAGUGCCCCGCACAUAGCAAACGCUCAAAUAAUCGCGUUGUGAUAUUGCAGUCUCCCAAGCGCUCAGUCCAGUGCUCAGCACAAGGUAAGCGCUCAGACAAUAGCGUUGUUAUAUAUUGUAGCCGCCCAAGCGCUCAGUGCAGUGCUCCGCACAUAGCAAACGCUCAAAUAAUCGUGUUGUGAUAUUGCAGUGUCCCAAGCGCUCAGUCCAGUGCUCUGCACAGGGUAAGCGCUCAAACAAUAGCGUUGUUAUAUAUAGUAGUUUCCCAAACGCUCAGCCCAGUGCUCCGCACAUAGUGAGCGCUGCAUCAAUCGCGUGGUGGUAUUGCAGUCUCCCAAGCGCUCAGUGCAGUGCUCCGCACGUAGCAAACGCUCAAACAAUCGCGUUGUGAUAUUGCAGUCUCCCAAGCGCUCAGUCCAGUGCUCUGCACAGGGUAAGCGCUCAAACAAUAGCGUUGUUAUAUAUUGUAGUUUCCCAACCGGUCAGCCCAGUGCUCUGCACGAGCGCCCCAUCAAUCGCGUUGUGAUAGUGUAACCUCCCAAGCGCUCAGUGCCGUGCUCCGCACAUAGCAAACGCUCAAACAAUCGCGUGGUGAUAUUGCAGUGUCCCAAGCGCUCAGUCCAGUGCUCUGCACAAGAUAAGCGCUCAAACAAUAGCGUUGUUAAAUAUAGUAGCCUCCCAAGCGCUCAGUGCAGCGCUCCGCACGUAGUAAGCGCUCAAACAAUCGCGUGGUAAUAUUGCAGUGUCCCAAGCGCUCAGUCCAGUGCUCUGCACAAGGUGAGCGCUCAGACAAUAGCGUUGUUAAAUAUAGUAGCCUCCCAAGCGCUCAGUGCAGUGCUCUGCACGUAGCAAACGCUCAAACAAUCGCGUUGCGAUAGUGCAGCCUCCCAAGCGCUCAGUGCAGUGCACCGCACGUCGUGAGCGCUCCAUCAAUCGCGUUGUGAUCCCCAGCGCUCAUUCAUUCAUUCAUUCAUUCAUUCAUUCGUUCAUUCGUCUUUUUUUGAGUUGACCGUGGGCGGAGCAGCGGACUAAGCCCGGGGCAAGUAGAGUCGGAUCGAUCCGUGAUC
Molecule: long non-coding RNA, 3561 nt
Filed under: Ornithorhynchus anatinus (platypus)
Lineage: Eukaryota; Metazoa; Chordata; Mammalia; Monotremata; Ornithorhynchidae
Description: lncRNA (ENSOANG00000048328.1)
Source: RNAcentral